This 115-nucleotide non-coding RNA is filed under the name Bacillus sp. (in: firmicutes). Its description in RNAcentral is "Bacillus sp. SAM-I sequence". It matches the Rfam family "SAM riboswitch aptamer (S box leader)". Rfam says of the family: The SAM riboswitch is found upstream of a number of genes which code for proteins involved in methionine or cysteine biosynthesis in Gram-positive bacteria. The SAM riboswitch acts at the level of transcription termination control. The record is from RNAcentral. Lineage: Bacteria; Bacillati; Bacillota; Bacilli; Caryophanales; Bacillaceae.
UUCUUAUCCAGAGAGGUCGAGGGUAAGGCCCGACGACGCCUCAGCAACCAGCAAUCAUUUUUUUGAUUGAAAAGGUGCUAAUUCCUGCAAGUUUCUAAAACUUGAAAGAUAAGAA